Long non-coding RNA from Cyprinus carpio (common carp), 867 nucleotides. RefSeq lists it as uncharacterized. The record is from RefSeq and is a predicted model, not a curated record. Lineage: Eukaryota; Metazoa; Chordata; Actinopteri; Cypriniformes; Cyprinidae.
UGUGGGUUUGUAGCAUCUGAGGUUAUGCAGUGAGAAAGUUGCAGCUGUUACACACAUACACACACACACACACACACACACAAACUGGUUCAUCAUCUCAUUGACUAUUAAAACGCAGACGGUCUGUGAUCAGUAUGUGUGAUGAGUAGUGAACAGCACCUUUACAGACUCAAAUCGCUUCAAUUCUGGAUUAUAUUUUGAAAGCCAUCACUAACCUGACAGCAUGUGCUGUGUGUGAAGCAGAGGGGUGAGGUUACACGCCAUAGCAUGCAGAGAGGCGUUCCUUCAAGAUGGGCGGGAACUGCUCCGAGAACUGCUGCCAGUUCUCCUCUCCGACCUGGUCCUUAAAACCAUGUAGGAUCUACACAGACACACAGCCUCAUUCAACAACAUGAGCAACAUUUUACCACUAUAAAGGGACAACGUGAUGUAACAACUCCAUGUGCGUCUAACCUUGUAGAACAUGUCCCUCAGGUCAUCUUUAGGGCUGACCCAGGAGGCCACGGCAUCACAGAAGAAGAUGAAGUCCUGAGGGAGAGACGGGUGAAAGGAAAUGAGUGAUGGAGGAGAGAGUAACAUCAUGGUCAGUCACAACGGAGUCAGAAUAACAGAACUGACCUGGACCACUCCGCCAGGAUUCACACCAAUCAUCACACAGAUGCCUCUGAAGGCCGAGUCCUUUUCCUCAUUAUCUCUGAUGUUUCGUAAUGAUGUGCACCUGCAAAAAAUAAAAACUUUAACAUUAAUUAAGCCUGUCUUAAGAAAAGCAUUAGCUGAAAAUGGAAAUAAUGCAAUUCUUAAAUCAAACUAACUUGCUGGCAAAAGUUUGGUGUAUAAGUCUCCUAUAUACUAUGAACUGAUUUAAAU